AGCCAUCACUAAACAGUUGGACCAAGUCCCAAGACUCAGCGGGCGGUGAUGAGUCGCCCCCUAAAAAUACUCCUCAAGGAAGCAAUGGAGUAACAGGAAACGGAAACGGGCUGGAUUUGCCAAGAAGCGUUGGCUAAGACAAGCCAUCAGCGAAGAAUCGGAGACACCUGCAGGUGGCUCUCCCUUCAUAGAGCAAGCAGUCGGACCAUUAAAGAAACGAAGGCUGGCGAGAGAGUCUAUGUCAUCGGAGCAGUCAUUCACUCCGCCAACAACGCCGACUCAUGUUGGCAGCAAUUCUUUGCCUGGUUUUGAUGAAGAUUCUCGCAUGUCAGCUCAUGAGGAAAUGAACAUGGACCAGGGAGCGACCAGUUGUGACUCAGCGAUUAACGAAGACGGCGAUCUCAGUCCUGAGCUCAUCAAGAGGAAUCUAAGUCCAGAGCUGAUCCAAAGAAAUAAGAACCUGGAAGAAGUGAAACAGGAACUCUUUGAAGAUGAAGCUGAGGAAGACAAGGAGCAUCCUAUUGCAUCCAGCCCAGAACUAAUUAAAAGGGAACCCGAGCCGGAGCCAAAAUCGAAGUAGAAUCGGACAAGACGGAGAUGAAACUUAUAGACAGGGUGGAACAGGAGUUGUCCAAUCUUAUGGGCUUUACAGAUACUAAACCGUUGUUGUUCAGUCUUGAAACGAAGAAAGAAGAGCAGCCGGAAGAAGUAGAAACACCUCCGGCACAAGAGGCAACACCUGCAGCCGUCAGAAAAAAGGUACGAGUUGGUUGGAAAAACACCAAUUGUUUAAUUUAAACAAAUAUAAACAUCGUUUAUAUGAUAACAAUAAACGUUCAAUCAAACAUCGACAAUUAAAAGUCACUGAUGAAGCAGGCAGGGUAAUCCAUCGUAUUUCUUAAAUGGGUCUUGAGUGUUCCUCAUUUCCAAAUAAUAAUAUUUAAUCAAAUCAAAAAUUCAAAAUUUUAAUCGCAUUAAUAACAAAAUUGCAUUUUAUUGUAACCAUUGGGAGAAUCCAAUCCUUUUUUUGGAUGCAUGCAGUAUAGUAAAAUUACAUCCUGUGCGAUUUUUGCCCGGUUUUUCAGAGAGCAGAAAACAAUAAUAAUUGUAACAAUUACCUACUUAAUGGGUUAAGGUAAUUCCGCUUUGCACUGAAAAUUUUUUCAGGGUUCAACAUUUUUUAGAGUACAUCAACUGUAGUCAGUGAAUUAUUUUUUGAGCUCUGCUCAGUUUACAGCCAUUUUUAACAUUUUUUCAGGAAUGAAAAAUUAUUCAAGUAUUGUGGAAAUUCCUUAACAUGUUUACUCAUCUAGCCAAUUUAGGAUAUGUGGAUUGAUCGAUGUAUUUUUUUAUUUAUUUAUUUAUUAUUUCAUAAUUUGUACAAUUGAGCCUCUGGCCGAGGCUAUGGCACACGUCAUAUUCGGUACAUGGUAAAUACAAGAGUAAAAUUCUCCUAGCCUACAAGCUCAUGAAGGUUGUAGAACGCUUUUUCGAGUAGGAA
This 1501-nucleotide long non-coding RNA is filed under the name Bemisia tabaci. RNAcentral's name for it is "lncRNA ENSSSA1NGG012866". The record is from RNAcentral. Lineage: Eukaryota; Metazoa; Arthropoda; Insecta; Hemiptera; Aleyrodidae.